This is a long non-coding RNA of Nycticebus coucang (slow loris), 3030 nucleotides long. RefSeq lists it as uncharacterized. The transcript has 9 exons. The record is from RefSeq and is a predicted model, not a curated record. Lineage: Eukaryota; Metazoa; Chordata; Mammalia; Primates; Lorisidae.
GCAAGAGGAGGCAGAACGGUCGGCGGCUGGAGGCUGUGGGAGUUGGAGUUGAUAGAGAGCGUUUCCCAGUGCUUCAUGUGGCAGAUGCCACAUUUGCAGAUCCAGAGAGGUGAUGUGAGGCACUGGCGCAGGUGAAGCCUGAGCAGAACCCCAAAGUUGGAACUUCGGCUUAUUUACGCUCUAUCAGUUUAUGCCUCACGUAUUUUGAUGCUCCAUUGUUGGGUGCCCACACAACAAGGAAUUAUCCUGUUUUCUUGGAGUAAAGACCCUAUGAUCACUUGGACUAAUGAGGGACAUAAAAGGCAGCCACUGGUGCAGCCAGCCCAGGCCUGAAGCACCAGCGGAGAGAAGGGCUCGUCAGUAGAAUGUCCAGUCAUUGGAGCCGAGAGGAGGAAUGGGGAGGCUGCCACUGGGCUCUAAGCACUGCAGCAACUUCAGGGUGAGAACUGAGGCCAAGGGCUAUCGUAAACUCCUGGUGGGCUACAACACAGCCAUGUCCGUCUGAGUGCUGGGAUCACCAUCGCUGCCUACCUGCCCUUCAAGGUCCUUGUGGAUGUUGCUCAUUUCUCCUGCAAAGCCUACCUGUCUGGAGCUAAUUGAUAGAGGCAGCACAGAGAGACUGGUGCCAUCAGAGGAAGAUGGUCAUCGCCUUGGUUUCCAAGAGAAGGGGCCGGCCACACCAUACGGUGCAGGGCCACAGAGGGGAAGCACCAUUGCCACAGGGAGCUGGAGCCUAACUCAGAGAAGACACAUCAGCAUGGUCCCAGGGGGAAGUGAGUGCUGUCCGGCCCAGAUAGAAGUCAUUGAGACCUUCCACCUAAAGUUCUUCAUCAGCUGCUGGCUGCAGUUCAAGCUAGCCAUCUCCGACUUUCCAGGAUGUGAGGUUUUUGCCACCAAACCAGGCUUUGACACUGCUCUGGGUAGAUUUACAAGUAUUUUGAGUGUGAAAAUGGACUUGCAGAGAGUCUGCCAUGUGGACGUGUUGGGUCUGCUGCACAUUCAGCUCACAGCGGCCGUCUGUCUGGAUGAGCAGGGGUUGUUAAGAGCCCAGCCCAAGGUUUAAUUAACACCAGGGCCCUGGCCUCUGUAGCUCCAAAUGGCCGCGAGGAGGGGCUGGCAUCCUGAGCUGGGUCAUGGCCUCAGCAACCAUCUACACUGAGCAGAAAGGAGUUCAGAGGGGAAAUCCCUGGAUCAGAGUCCUCUUCUGCUGUUUCUGCCAUUCUGCCUGUGAGUGUUGAAGCUGUUCCGUCUAAGCCUCCUCCCCCCUGAAAUGGGGAUGAUGGGCCUCCUGCCUGCACGCAGCAAGUGAAAAGUGGCCAGUGUCGGUGCCGCUGUAUCACGCCAACACCUUGUGCAGGAAACAGCCGGAACACGGACUGAUGAAUGUACAAGCUUGCAAGAGGCCAGGCUGGUCCUGAGAUGCAGAGCUGGCUCUGGCAUCAUGCUUUGUCCUGCCCUAGGAGUGCCACUCAGAGGAGGAUCUGGUGAUUAGAUGAUUCUAGGACACUGAGGAAGACUGCUGGUCACAGAGAGGGUGUCCUGGCUGGGCCAGGGUCCCUGGAUGUAUCGGAAUUCUCAAGCUAUAAGAAUAAUAAUAGCAGUGCAUGGCUGAGAGAGGGGACAAGGUGGAAUGCCUUGGGGAAUUAGGGAAGCACCUCUCUUGGUCAACAUGCACGGGCUGAUGGACAAGCAUCUGAAGUACAUGAGCACGAGGAAGGCAGCUCUGGUGGGCACAGCCUCCCUCCCCAGCAGUCACUUCUCCAGAGCACAGGUCAGGGCUGAGGUGCCCUUCAGCUCCAGUCUCUAUGCCAGCUAGACCUUUUGUGCAACCACUAGACCAGCUCUGAGGUCAAGGUCUUCAGUGACCUGGAGGUUCUGGAGAACUUGGAGAUGGUUCAGAGGAGUGACCCAGCCCUGAUGCUUUUGUUAGCACACAGCCUGGCACAUGGAAGGCACCAACACUUACUAGGACAGGCACAGAAGAAGGGCUCAGGCCGUGUUUGUUGGUGAGCGAGUGAGCAAAGGAGGAAAGGCUAAACCAAGGACAGACCUGGGAGUCCUACAACAGAGCUGGGUUAGAAAGAAAUGACUGUCCCAUGAGGCCUGCAAAUUGUGGCAGGGCCAUUCCUGCCACUUAAACAAGGUGAGACUGUCAUGGACACCCAGGUGUGGUCGGGCCAUGUUGCUGCACAGCCCUCUUGGUCCUGCUUGCCUUUUGAUAGACAGCCUGCAACCACAAUGCCCUUUCCCCGUGUUGCCUGCAUCCUGGCUCCCUGUCCUAUUACCUCAUCAAGGAAGGACACAGAACUGGCCACACCAUUGCCCUGGGAUCGUGUGAGGAUGUACACAGUGACCUACACUGUGCCUUCUCAGAGUGAAGUCUUUGAGACCCACAGCAACCCAGGAGGAGUCUAAAAGUACAGGUUCCUGGCUGUGUGUGGUGGCUCAUGCCUGUAAGCCUAGCAUUUUGGGAGGCUGAAACAGGAAGAUCACUUAAGGUCAGGAGUUCAAGUCCAGCCUGAACAAGGGCGAGUCCCCAUCUCUACCAAAAAAUAUAAAAAUUAACCAAGUGCAGUAGAACACACCUGUAGUCCCAGCUGUUUGGGAAACCAUGGAAGGAGAAUCUCUGUGAGAGAAAGAAGAGAAAGAAGAAACGGCUGGCUGAGGCGAGCAGAGCUCACUGUCUGGCUCUCUUGGUUCCUCAUUACAACCUUCCUGCCUCUCAUCACAGAGGUUGAAAACAUAAGAUGUCUUCUAAUAAAGAGAAACCUGAGAGUGAUUUCACACUUUCUGGAUGAUGUGCUCCAAGAGUGUGAUUCUGGAACUUAGGCAGCUGUCUUGUGACCAACAGGCAAGAGAAACCAGAGGUCGACAGGGUGACAGUAGAGGAGUAGAAGGGUGAAAACAGCCUGAGACCACAAAGGUGGCUGAGCCUCUUAAACUAUAGAGGGUGCAAAAAUACAUACAUACAUGUUUUAAGAAAGAAAAAAGUACAUUGAAAUUUUAAUACUCAGAGUAUACCAAUAAAAG